GAUGAAGAACGCAGCGAAAUGCGAUAAGUAAUGCGAAUUGCAGAAUCCGUGAGUCAUCGAAUCUUUGAACGCACAUUGCGCCCUUUGGUAUUCCGAAGGGCAUGCCUGUUCGAGCGUCAUUAUCACCACUCAAGCCCGGCUUGCUGUUGGUGGCAGCGCAGCCGGUCAACCGGCUACGCUCCACCCAAAGAUAAUGACGGCGUCUGCGAGGACUCCUGUACAUUGAGCUUUCGGGCACGUACAUGGCUAGAAGUCCAGGCGCCGGUCGACGUCCUCCGGGACACUUUUUACCAAGGUUGACCUCGGAUCAGGUAGGGAUACCCGCUGAACUUAAGCAUACCAAUAAGCGGAGGA
Molecule: unclassified non-coding RNA, 354 nt
Filed under: soil metagenome
Description: partial contains 5.8S ribosomal RNA, internal transcribed spacer 2, and large subunit ribosomal RNA
Rfam family: 5.8S ribosomal RNA (bases 1-119)
Source: RNAcentral